CCGCCUCCUGGCCCUGGGCCAGCCGCCAUCUUGCAACGGCCCUUGCCAAUCCCAGGGGCAGCUUUAGCACACCCCUCCCCACACAGGUCCGUGCAGGAGAGCUGAGGGCAACUGCCUCUCCCAGCUGGGUGUCUACCACCCCUCGCCAGUCAUGUGCAUGUCCACUCAGCUGGAGCUACUUGUGACUUCAGACUGGGCAGUAGUGACAGAGCAUUUCAGUUCUCGUUCUUGUCUCCCUGACCGCUGUCAUGAGUCUGAAGAAUUUAUCAUCUCUCCAAGCUUUCUACUAUGGACGGUUUCUACUGAUUGGCUAUUGAGAAUCUAAGACAAUGUCAGGUUGGGCUCCAUUCUCACAUAGUCUGUCGGCCCCUGCUCACGUUGACUGUCUCUCUUGGGAGAAUGUGUAACUCCAAGCAAAUGAUGAUGGAUUAUUGACACAUCUGGAUGUUUGGCCUAAAGAAUCGUAAGCUGCUGCAGUGGCAUUUAUUUUUUUGAAUCAGCUCUUCAGACCACCCUGGAACUCAUGCAACUCGUUUGGAAAGAAGUUUGUGAUAUCUCAAAGUUGCCUUCUGCCAUUUCAAAAUGAGUGCAAAUGGGAUUCUGUCACCCGUGUUUUAUACAUUGUGGCUUUGCAUUUUUGACACCUACAGGAACAAUAAGACCAAAGCCAGAUGCCCA
Molecule: long non-coding RNA, 678 nt
Organism: Ochotona princeps (American pika)
Lineage: Eukaryota; Metazoa; Chordata; Mammalia; Lagomorpha; Ochotonidae
Exons: 4
Source: RefSeq, a predicted model, not a curated record